GGCCACGUGGCGAAGUGGUAACGCAGCGGUCUGCAAAACCGCGAUGCGCCGGUUCAAAUCCGGCCGUGGCCUCCA
RNAcentral lists this transfer RNA (75 nucleotides) under Patescibacteria group bacterium. RNAcentral describes it as "tRNA-Cys". It matches the Rfam family "tRNA". From Rfam's summary of the family: Transfer RNA (tRNA) molecules are approximately 80 nucleotides in length. Their secondary structure includes four short double-helical elements and three loops (D, anti-codon, and T loops). The record is from RNAcentral.